RNAcentral lists this unclassified non-coding RNA (314 nucleotides) under plant metagenome. Its description in RNAcentral is "partial contains 5.8S ribosomal RNA, internal transcribed spacer 2, and large subunit ribosomal RNA". The stretch from base 1 to 105 matches the Rfam family "5.8S ribosomal RNA", at positions 50 to 154 of the family's 154-position model. The record is from RNAcentral.
GAAAUGCGAUAAUUAAUGUGAAUUGCAGAAUUCAGUGAAUCAUCGAGUCUUUGAACGCACAUUGCGCCCCCUGGUAUUCCGGGGGGCAUGCCUGUCCGAGCGUCAUUGCUACCCUCAAGCACGGCUUGUGUGUUGGGCUUCCGUCCCUGGCAACGGGGACGGGCCCAAAAGGCAGUGGCGGCACCAUGUCUGGUCCUCGAGCGUAUGGGGCUUUGUCACCCGCUCCCGUAGGUCCAGCUGGCAGCUAGCCUCGCAACCAAUCUUUUUAACCAGGUUGACCUCGGAUCAGGUAGAGAUACCCGCUGAACUUAAGC